ACCCCAUGGUGAGGACAGGCGGCCACGUACUCCUACAGUCGUUCCCAUGCUUCAGGAAUGGACUCGUCUCAUGUCUGCUGGAAACUUGAAAUCCUUCCACGAUGAGCGU
This 109-nucleotide small nucleolar RNA is filed under the name Oryza barthii. RNAcentral describes it as "Plant small nucleolar RNA R71". It matches the Rfam family "Plant small nucleolar RNA R71". Rfam says of the family: R71 is a member of the C/D box family of snoRNAs containing the C (UGAUGA) and D (CUGA) box motifs. Multiple nearly identical copies of this snoRNA have been identified in Arabidopsis, and it is thought to function as a 2'-O-ribose methylation guide for 18S ribosomal RNA. Lineage: Eukaryota; Viridiplantae; Streptophyta; Magnoliopsida; Poales; Poaceae. The record is from Rfam by way of RNAcentral.